This is a long non-coding RNA of Salvia splendens (bonfire salvia), 360 nucleotides long. RefSeq lists it as uncharacterized. Lineage: Eukaryota; Viridiplantae; Streptophyta; Magnoliopsida; Lamiales; Lamiaceae. The record is from RefSeq and is a predicted model, not a curated record. The transcript has 2 exons.
AUGAUUUUUGGUCAUACCGCACGGUACGGUAUGCGGUAUGACCAUUUCGGCGCGGUAUACCGUACCGUUCCAACCCUAGGUGAAGAUGAGUAAUCAGUACGACAAUUGGGAGAGGCUGCGCCGACAGCACGACCGGGAGAUAGCCCUGUGCCCUUCAACGAAUUCUAGCCCCUUCAGCUCUAGAUCUUCCAGUUUUAACAGUGAAUUUUAUUAUCAGCUACACAGUGCCAUCAUCAAGCACUCCAACAACCCAAAUUUUCCAUUUUCCUCGGCAACUAUGGCGAGCAAUAGUCUUGUGUUUCAUCUGUUAAGAUUGUGGUAAGGGUGUCGAUGAACGACAAGAAAUCCCUUUGCAAAGCC